GAGAGUUUGAUCCUGGCUCAGGACGAACGCUGGCGGCGUGCCUAACACAUGCAAGUCGAGCGAUGAAGUUUCCUUCGGGAAAUGGAUUAGCGGCGGACGGGUGAGUAACACGUGGGUAACCUGCCUCAUAGAGGGGAAUAGCCUCCCGAAAGGGAGAUUAAUACCGCAUAAUAUUACAGUUUCGCAUGAAACAGUAAUUAAAGGAGCAAUCCGCUAUGAGAUGGACCCGCGGCGCAUUAGCUAGUUGGUGAGGUAACGGCUCACCAAGGCGACAAUGCGUAGCCGACCUGAGAGGGUGAUCGGCCACAUUGGGACUGAGACACGGCCCAGACUCCUACGGGAGGCAGCAGUGUGGGGAAUAUUGCACAAUGGGGGAAACCCUGAUGCAGCAACGCCGCGCUGAGUGAUAGACGGUCUUCGGAUUGUAAAGCUCUGUCUUUGGGGACGAUAAUGACGGUACCCAAGGAGAAGCCACGGCUAACUACUGCCAGCAGCGCGGUAAUAC
RNAcentral lists this ribosomal RNA (505 nucleotides) under uncultured manure pit bacterium P624. RNAcentral's name for it is "bacterial SSU rRNA". It matches the Rfam family "Bacterial small subunit ribosomal RNA", at positions 7 to 526 of the family's 1533-position model. The record is from RNAcentral.